This 926-nucleotide long non-coding RNA is filed under the name Fukomys damarensis (Damara mole-rat). RNAcentral describes it as "lncRNA (ENSFDAG00000023053.1)". Lineage: Eukaryota; Metazoa; Chordata; Mammalia; Rodentia; Bathyergidae. The record is from RNAcentral.
CAAAAAUUUUCCCAAACUUCUGUAGCAAAAUCUAAAUCAAGCCGGAUAGAAUUGGCAUGAACACCAGACAAGACCUCAAUGUCCAAUGACAACUGAUUAGUUGUAGUUAGAAAUGUCCGAGUCCAAGACCCUCAACAAUGAAGAAAGUCGUCUAACUUUCUCAGAAUGGUUUUUGACAGGAAAGGGAGUAAGGCACAGUUGUUGAAAUCUGGGAUCACAGUCCAAUCGGGUAUGCAACCACAAUCCUUCAACUUCUUUGUUUAGUAAGUCCAUUUGUUGCUGAAAUAUAGCCAAACCAGUUCCAAUGAAUCCUUGUUCUGGAUAAUAAAGUCUCCGCUUGUACACCAAGACACAUCCUGGAGUUCUCUCUGCUGCUCCAAUGUUGGGGUCCCAAUCCAGUCUCCAGAUUCAAGCUAUUCAGGGAUAGCAGCAGAUCUUCCUCCGGAGCACCGUCGCUACCUUCGACCUGGGUCCGGGAUUGCAUAUCCUCAUCCUUUCAGGUCCCUGUUCGGGCCCCACUUGUCGUGAGCCGCGACGUCAGGAUCCUGCCAGCAGGUCCUAAACCUGAAAGGAUGAGGACAGAGAGACGGAAGGCACCUUUCUUCUCAUGUUGCUUGCUUGCUUUAUUACAGAACCUCUCCUUUUUAUACUCUCCAGCUGCAUGGAAGCGAGGGCUGCACGGGAGCGAGGGAGCGAGGGUACCGCCCACACAUUCCAGAGGGAAACAACAACCAUUAUGGGUUACAUCUGCUACUAGCUGAACUCGCCCGUGGCUAUGGGCGAGAGCACCUCUGUGCCAGCGAGGUGACUCAAAGUUCAAUCAUGGCUAGGCCUGUGUCAAGGCUCACCGUAAUGGCUCGCCAUACAUCCCGAAGGGCUGGACUUUCCAGGGACCUAGUUCUACUUCUGCCCUGCCCUUGGACCAG